AGUGGCGGACGGGUGAGUAACACGUGAGAAUUUGCCUUUAGGAGGGGGAUAACAAUUGGAAACAAAUGCUAAUACCCCAUAUGCUUUUGAGUGAAAUGGAUUUAUCCGCCUAGAGAGAAGCUCGCGGCUGAUUAGCUUGUUGGUAAGGUAAGAGCUUACCAAGGCGACGAUCAGUAUCUGGUUUGAGAGGACGAUCAGACACACUGGAACUGAGACACGGUCCAGACUCCUACGGGAGGCAGCAGUGGGGAAUUUUCCGCAAUGGGCGAAAGCCUGACGGAGCAAUACCGCGUGAGGGAAGACUGCCUAUGGGUUGUAAACCUCUUUUUUCAGGGAGGAAUAAAAUGACGUGUACCUGAAGAAUAAGCAUCGGCUAGCUCCGUGCCAGCAGCCGCGGUAAGACGGAGGAUGCAAGUGUUAUCCGGAAUCACUGGGCGUAAAGCGUCUGUAGGUUGUUUAAUAAGUCAACUGUUAAAGCUUGAGGCUCAACUUCAAAAUCGCAGUCGAAACUAUUAGACUAGAGUAUAGUAGAGGUAAAGGGAAUUUCCAGUGGAGCGGUGAAAUGCGUAGAUAUUGGAAAGAACACCGAUUGCGAAAGCACUUUACUGGGCUAUUACUAACACUCAGAGACGAAAGCUAGGGUAGCAAAUGGGAUUAGAUACCCCAGUAGUCCUAGCCGUAAACAAUGGAUACUAGAUGU
Molecule: ribosomal RNA, 700 nt
Filed under: uncultured bacterium
Lineage: Bacteria
Description: bacterial SSU rRNA
Rfam family: Bacterial small subunit ribosomal RNA
Source: RNAcentral